AGGAGAAACUAGCGUUAAUCAGGUUCUGUGAUAUUUGGAGUGGUUUGCUUGCUGGCUAGCAAGUUAUUGCCUUCACACACCAUAGACCAGUAUGGCACUGCAUAAAGGCUUAACCAAAUGUGUACUCUUCUUGUUAUGGCCUCCACAUGUCCUACAUCUACCACCAGCAUUUCUCAGAGACAUCACACAGGAACGUAUGGGCAAAACAACCGAGGAGCAGCUCAGUGGGGAAAAGUGGAAAGUUCUGGACUGACCAAGUCAAUCUCCCAGCUUAAGAUUCAAAACAGACUGAAGUCCCUGAAGCCCAAACAGAAACAGAAACCUUGCUUGGCAAGUAACCCAAGAAAAACCUUGGUUAAACAUGAUUCGUGGACUGUGGAUUUGUGUGAAAGACGUAAAGAUCUGAAGACCAUAACUCUCAGGACCUUAGUUGUGCUAUAUCCUCUCUUUUACUAUGUCAGAUAGAUGAUGAAUUACAUCUACAUUGGAUUUACAC
Long non-coding RNA from Pygocentrus nattereri (red-bellied piranha), 496 nucleotides. RefSeq lists it as uncharacterized. Lineage: Eukaryota; Metazoa; Chordata; Actinopteri; Characiformes; Serrasalmidae. The record is from RefSeq and is a predicted model, not a curated record. The transcript is spliced from 3 exons.